GUGCCUGUAGCUCAGUUGGAUAGAGCACUGGUCUACGGAACCAGGUGUCGGGGGUUCGAAUCCCUCCAGGCACG
Molecule: transfer RNA, 74 nt
Filed under: Candidatus Omnitrophota bacterium
Lineage: Bacteria; Pseudomonadati; Candidatus Omnitrophota
Description: Candidatus Omnitrophica bacterium tRNA-Arg
Rfam family: tRNA
About the family: Transfer RNA (tRNA) molecules are approximately 80 nucleotides in length. Their secondary structure includes four short double-helical elements and three loops (D, anti-codon, and T loops).
Source: RNAcentral